AAAACAAAAAUAUAAAAAGAAAAGGGGGAGGCGCUCGGCAGCCCCCCCCCCCCCCCAAAUCAGAAAAUCUCUCUCUCUCUCUCUUUUAUUUUCUCUUGAUUUCCUCUCGGAUUUUCUUCGAUUCCAAGCGAUCCGGCCGUUCGAUCGUUGAUCCGACUUCGCUUUCACCGUUAAAGUGCCCCCGAUCUACAAGGAGGUAAGUGUUUUGGCUUCAUCCUCUCUGUUUUGCUUGUUGUUUUCGUGAAAUGAGGCUUGAGGCGCGAUGGGGCUUGUUGGCCGAAUGUUUGAGGUUAGAUCUACGAAGAUCCAACCGUUGGAUUUUUGUGAUUCUUGGAUAUGAUGGUCGGUUUGCUUAAGAGGGUUGGGUGGCGGUCUUGGAUCGCUGGAAAUCGCCGGCCACGGUGGCCGGCGACGUUGGCAGUAUUUUUUUCUCUUUUUGGCUGAAACUUCGACUCUAGAUCUACGAAGAUCUAGCCGUCCGAUCUUUCUCAUUUUUGGGUAUGUUGCUCUCCUUAGUGUUGCGCACCUCGGGGUAGUUUCUGAUCGUCGAAAAAAUGGCCGGCGACCGGCGAACGGCGAUGGCCAGAUUCGCCCCUAUUUUCGGCCGAAAAUUAAAUCUCAGAUCUAGUAAGAUCUGACCGUCCGAUGGGUUUCAUUUUAAUAUAUGUUGUUAUUCGUGGCGAGGGCUUCGUAUCGGUAUAUUGGUCGGCCAUUUUUGGCUGGCCGGCGGCGGUCGCCGGCGGUGGCAGUGUGUUGGAAAGAAAAGAAAAAAGAAAAGAAAAAGAAAGAAAAGAAAAGAAAGGAAAAAGAAUAAAAGGAAAUAAAAAUAAAAAAAUAAAUAAAAUAUAAGGAAAAAGGAAAUGAGGGCUUUUGGGGUUGGGCAUGUCGGGUUAGGUUUUAGCCUAGGAUGGCGGGGCCCGAUUGGGUUUUAGGAUGGCCCAAUGUGUUGGGCAUGACUGACCCAAUUGUGGCAGCCCUUGGGCUGGCCCACUCGGCUUGUUCUCCCUUGUCGCUUGUCCGGGAACCUAGGAUGACUUGGUUAGGUUGGUCCUACUCGGGAUAUCGAUGUCAGUUUAAUUUGGGUUCUCUUUAGGUCUCCUAGAAUUGGCGAUAUGAUUGGCGAGUCAUUUUGUUGAUCGGAGUCCUAAGGACGAAGCCCUAUUAGACGACCCGAGGCCGAGUAAGACUGACCCCGAGUGCGUUCUAGGCUAGCCUAUGAUGAUGACGUGGGUUUAUUUCGAAUCCUGAUUUCUGAUGGAUUCCUUUUAUCUGAGGCUAGAAUAUUGCAAUUUAUUCCUUUUAAACCAUUUAUUAAAUUAUUAAUUAAUUAUUAAGUUUUCAAGAAAAUUUAUCAAUUUAGUUAUAAAUAUAUAUAUGUAUGUAUUUUUGAUAAAGGAGGAAUUUAGAUAAAAAAUAUAUUAUCUAUAUUAAAAGAAAACUAGUUUAUGGGUAAAUAUAUAUAUAUAUUAUGAUAUUGCAGCCUAUAAGUGGGUGUGUAGUUCCACUAUACACUUACGCGUAGCAAGCAAAGCGAGACAUGAUGACGUAGUCGAUGGCUUAGCUCGACGAAUUCCAUGACGCCAGAUUUGAAUAUUGCGCGGGCCAAGGCUCAGAUUCUCAGGAUUUUGUUUGAUCUUCUCCCCAGACUCGGACUUGAGUCAUCAUUUCCCAGGCGAGUAGACAGGAUAUGUUAUGAUUACCUUAUAUUAUGCACGUAUAUACUGUUUUAUUCAUAAAUAUUAUAACCUUGUAUAAAUUUUUAUAUGCAUAACUCGUACAUGAUUUUUAUAUGCGGAUCAUAGAAAAAUACUCUUAAAUGUUUCUAAUUUGCAUGAAAUAUUUUCAUCCUACUGGGAGAGACAUAAAUUGAAAGAUACCCUAAUUGAUUUCUUGUUUUGAGAAUGUGAAUUAUUGAAUGAUAUGGUGUAUUUUAGGCACCACAUGAAAUGAUAAAUGAUUAUGACUUGUGCAUAAAUUAGGGUAUUAUUUGCAUUAUUAUUAGAGGACUAUCUAGUAGAUUCCCUGGUGACUCACAGCAGGAAAAGAUCAUGGUACUGUGAGGCUUGGCAUGCCAAGGCCAUGAGAGACACGGAUAGUAUGUUUCAGCACUGCUAUCACGUGGGCCUUUAUGAUGAUAUUGUGUGAUGAUGAUGUAUGUGCCGAUAUAUAUACUUGUGUGCAUGUGUAUAUAGGCGUUAGGCCAGUUUCUACUAGUGUGUCCUCAGAAUCAGUGCAUGCAUCUCAUACAAAAGUAUAGG
Long non-coding RNA from Diospyros lotus (date-plum), 2258 nucleotides. RefSeq lists it as uncharacterized. Lineage: Eukaryota; Viridiplantae; Streptophyta; Magnoliopsida; Ericales; Ebenaceae. The record is from RefSeq and is a predicted model, not a curated record. The transcript is spliced from 2 exons.